This 247-nucleotide ribosomal RNA is filed under the name uncultured bacterium. RNAcentral describes it as "partial 16S ribosomal RNA". It matches the Rfam family "Bacterial small subunit ribosomal RNA", at positions 109 to 354 of the family's 1533-position model. The record is from RNAcentral.
AGUAACGCGUGGGCAACCUGCCUCAUACAGGGGGAUAGCAUCGGGAAACUGGUGGUAAAACCGCAUAAGCGCACGGAAACGCAUGUUUUUGUGUGAAAAGGAGAAAUCUGGUAUGAGAUGGACCCGCGUCUGAUUAGCUAGUUGGAGUGGUAAAAGCACACCAAGGCAACGAUCAGUAGCCGGCCUGAGAGGGUGGACGGCCACAUUGGGACUGAGACACGGCCCAGACUCCUACGGAAGGCAGCAG